This 749-nucleotide ribosomal RNA is filed under the name uncultured marine bacterium. RNAcentral's name for it is "bacterial SSU rRNA". It matches the Rfam family "Bacterial small subunit ribosomal RNA", at positions 53 to 811 of the family's 1533-position model. The record is from RNAcentral.
GCAUGCAGUUGAGCGAAGCUUUUCAGUAGUUUACUACAGAAAAUGACUGAGCGGCGAACGGGUGAGUAACGCGUGAGCAAUCUACCUUAGUUACUGGGAUAGCCCGAGGAAACUCGGAUUAAUACCGGAUAUUCUUAAUUUUUCACAUGAAGUUUUAAGGAAAGGUCAGCCGAACUAAGAUGAGCUCGCGUUCUAUCAGCUAGUUGGUGGGGUAAAAGCCUACCAAGGCUACGACGGAUAGCUGGUCUGAGAGGACGAUCAGCCACACUGGGACUGAGACACGGCCCAGACUCCUACGGGAGGCUGCAGCAGGGAAUAUUGCGCAAUGAGCGAAAGCUUGACGCAGCGACACCGCGUGUGGGAUGACGGUUCUAGGAUUGUAAACCACUUUCAGGAGGGAAGAAAAUGACGGUACCUCCACAAGAAGACCCGGCCAACUACGUGCCAGCAGCCGCGGUAAUACGUAGGGGUCAAGCGUUGUCCGGAUUUAUUGGGCGUAAAGAGCUCGUAGGCGGUUCAACAAGUCGGUCGUAAAAGUUUAGGGCUCAACCCUAAAAUGUCGAUCGAUACUGUUGUGACUAGGAUACGGUAGAGGUGAAUGGAAUUCCGAGUGUAGCGGUGAAAUGCGUAGAUAUUCGGAGGAACACCAAUUGCGAAGGCAGUUCACUGGACCGUGAUCGACGCUGAGGAGCGAAAGCUAGGGGAGCAAACAGGAUUAGAUACCCUGGUAGUCCUAGCUGUAAACGAUG